CACGUAGGGUGCGAGCGUUGUCCGGAAUUAUUGGGCGUAAAGAGCUCGUAGGCGGUGUGUCACGUCGGCCGUGAAAACCUGCAGCUUAACUGUGGGCGUGCGGUCGAUACGGGCAUCACUGGAGUUCGGCAGGGGAGACUGGAAUUCCUGGUGUAGCGGUGAAAUGCGCAGAUAUCAGGAGGAACACCGAUGGCGAAGGCAGGUCUCUGGGCCACUACUGACGCUGAGAAGCGAAAGCAUGGGGAGCGAACAGG
RNAcentral lists this ribosomal RNA (254 nucleotides) under uncultured bacterium. RNAcentral's name for it is "partial 16S ribosomal RNA". It matches the Rfam family "Bacterial small subunit ribosomal RNA", at positions 524 to 776 of the family's 1533-position model. The record is from RNAcentral.